ACAUGAAGCUGGAAUCGCUAGUAAUCGCGGAUCAGAAUGCCGCGGUGAAUACGUUCCCGGGUCUUGUACACACCGCCCGUCACACCAUGGGAGUCGGAAAUGCCCGAAGUCAGUGACCCAACCACAACGUGAACUUUGUUCACGUGGAGGGGGCUGCCGAAGGUGGAGCCGGUAACUGGGGUGAAGUCGUAACAAGGUAAC
Molecule: ribosomal RNA, 201 nt
Filed under: uncultured bacterium
Lineage: Bacteria
Description: partial 16S ribosomal RNA
Rfam family: Bacterial small subunit ribosomal RNA
Source: RNAcentral